This 270-nucleotide small RNA is filed under the name Ureaplasma parvum serovar 3 str. ATCC 700970. RNAcentral's name for it is "5' ureB small RNA". It matches the Rfam family "5' ureB small RNA", at positions 1 to 257 of the family's 292-position model. Lineage: Bacteria; Bacillati; Mycoplasmatota; Mycoplasmoidales; Mycoplasmoidaceae. The record is from Rfam by way of RNAcentral.
CUAUUUCUGGUUCUAGUCAGUGAACGUGAGUAUCUAAACCACCAGCUGUAUAAAUUUUACCCUCACCAGCUGAAAUUUCAGUUGAGAUACCCACAAUCAUAUCAACAUUAUCUGUUAAAUGUGGAUUUCCAGAUUUACCAAUCGCAGCAAUUUUUCCAUUUUUAAUACCAAUAUCUGCUUUAUAAAUACCUGUAUAAUCAACAAUUAGUGCAUUUGUAAUAACUAAAUCCAUUACUUCAGCAUUACCUAAUUUAUCAUCUAACUUCAUAG